CCCUGGCUCAGAACGAACGCUGGCGGCAGGCUUAACACAUGCAAGUCGAGCGCCUCGCAAGAGGAGCGGCAGACGGGUGAGUAACGCGUGGGAAUCUACCCAUCUCUACGGAAUAACGCAUGGAAACGUGUGCUAAUACCGUAUACGCCCUUUGGGGGAAAGAUUUAUCGGAGAUGGAUGAGCCCGCGUUGGAUUAGCUAGUUGGUGGGGUAAAGGCCUACCAAGGCGACGAUCCAUAGCUGGUCUGAGAGGAUGAUCAGCCACAUUGGGACUGAGACACGGCCCAAACUCCUACGGGAGGCAGCAGUGGGGAAUAUUGGACAAUGGGCGCAAGCCUGAUCCAGCCAUGCCGCGUGAGUGAUGAAGGCCUUAGGGUUGUAAAGCUCUUUCACCGGAGAAGAUAAUGACGGUAUCCGGAGAAGAAGCCCCGGCUACU
This 436-nucleotide ribosomal RNA is filed under the name Rhizobium sp. CL5.56. RNAcentral's name for it is "bacterial SSU rRNA". It matches the Rfam family "Bacterial small subunit ribosomal RNA", at positions 17 to 501 of the family's 1533-position model. Lineage: Bacteria; Pseudomonadati; Pseudomonadota; Alphaproteobacteria; Hyphomicrobiales; Rhizobiaceae. The record is from RNAcentral.